AACGGACGAGAAGCUUGCUUUUCUGAUGUUAGCGGCGGACGGGUGAGUAACACGUGGAUAACCUACCUAUAAGACUGGGAUAACUUCGGGAAACCGGAGCUAAUACCGGAUAAUAUUUUGAACCGCAUGGUUCAAAAGUGAAAGACGGUCUUGCUGUCACUUAUAGAUGGAUCCGCGCUGCAUUAGCUAGUUGGUAAGGUAACGGCUUACCAAGGCAACGAUGCAUAGCCGACCUGAGAGGGUGAUCGGCCACACUGGAACUGAGACACGGUCCAGACUCCUACGGGAGGCAGCAGUAGGGAAUCUUCCGCAAUGGGCGAAAGCCUGACGGAGCAACGCCGCGUGAGUGAUGAAGGUCUUCGGAUCGUAAAACUCUGUUAUUAGGGAAGAACAUAUGUGUAAGUAACUGUGCACAUCUUGACGGUACCUAAUCAGAAAGCCACGGCUAACUACGUGCCAGCAGCCGCGGUAAUACGUAGGUGGCAAGCGUUAUCCGGAAUUAUUGGGCGUAAAGCGCGCGUAGGCGGUUUUUUAAGUCUGAUGUGAAAGCCCACGGCUCAACCGUGGAGGGUCAUUGGAAACUGGAAAACUUGAGUGCAGAAGAGGAAAGUGGAAUUCCAUGUGUAGCGGUGAAAUGCGCAGAUAUCAGGAGGAACACCGAUGGCGAAGGCAGGUUACUGGGCAGUUACUGACGCUGAGGAGCGAAAG
RNAcentral lists this ribosomal RNA (708 nucleotides) under uncultured Staphylococcus sp. RNAcentral describes it as "bacterial SSU rRNA". It matches the Rfam family "Bacterial small subunit ribosomal RNA", at positions 65 to 759 of the family's 1533-position model. Lineage: Bacteria; Bacillati; Bacillota; Bacilli; Caryophanales; Staphylococcaceae. The record is from RNAcentral.